UUGGAGGGCAAGUCUGGUGCCAGCAGCCGCGGUAAUUCCAGCUCCAAUAGCGUAUAUUAAAGUUGUUGCAGUUAAAAAGCUCGUAGUUGAAUUUCGGGAUCAUCAGGUUGGUCGUGCCUCUGGUAUGUACUUUCCUCGAUGGUUCCUCCUUCUUGAAGAACCGUAAUGCCAUUAAUUUGGUGUUGCGGGGAAUCAGGACUGUUACUUUGAAAAAAUUAGAGUGUUUAAAGCAGGCAAUCGCUUGAAUACAUUAGCAUGGAAUAAUGAAAUAGGACGUUCGAUCCUAUUUUGUUGGUUUCUAGGAUUGACGUAAUGAUUAAUAGGGAUAGUUGGGGGCAUUAGUAUUCAAUUGUCAGAGGUGAAAUUCUUGGAUUUAUUGAAGACUAACUACUGCGAAAGCAUUUGCCAAGGAUGUUUUCAUUAAUCAAGAACGAAAGUUAGGGGAUCGAAGACGAUCAGAUACCGUCGUAGUCUUAACCAUAGACUAUGCCGACUAGGGAUCGGAUGAUGUUAAUUUUUUAAUGACUCAUUCGGCGCCUUACGGGAAAC
Molecule: ribosomal RNA, 549 nt
Filed under: uncultured Glomeromycotina
Lineage: Eukaryota; Fungi; Glomeromycota
Description: SSU rRNA
Rfam family: Eukaryotic small subunit ribosomal RNA
Source: RNAcentral